CAGUCGCCACGGUAAAACGGAGGGUGCAAGCGUUAUCCGGAUUUAUUGGGUUUAAAGGGUCCGUAGGCGGAUCUGUAAGUCAGUGGUGAAAUCUCACAGCUUAACUGUGAAACUGCCAUUGAUACUGCAGGUCUUGAGUAAAUUUGAAGUGGCUGGAAUAAGUAGUGUAGCGGUGAAAUGCAUAGAUAUUACUUAGAACACCAAUUGCGAAGGCAGGUCACUAAGAUUUAACUGACGCUGAUGGACGAAAGCGUGGGGAGCGAACAGGAUUAGAUACCCGUGUAGUCCCUGUCUCUUAUAC
RNAcentral lists this ribosomal RNA (301 nucleotides) under uncultured bacterium. RNAcentral's name for it is "partial 16S ribosomal RNA". It matches the Rfam family "Bacterial small subunit ribosomal RNA", at positions 509 to 807 of the family's 1533-position model. The record is from RNAcentral.